UACAGAGGGUGCGAGCGUUAAUCGGAAUUACUGGGCGUAAAGCGUGCGCAGGCGGUUUUGUAAGCCAGAUGUGAAAGCCCCGGGCUCAACCUGGGAAUGGCAUUUGGGACUGCAAGGCUGGAGUUUGGCAGAGGAGACUGGAAUUCCCGGUGUAGCAGUGAAAUGCGUAGAUAUCGGGAGGAAUACCGAUGGCGAAGGCAGGUCUCUGGGCUAUAACUGACGCUCAUGCACGAAAGCGUGGGGAGCAAACAGG
RNAcentral lists this ribosomal RNA (253 nucleotides) under uncultured bacterium. Its description in RNAcentral is "partial 16S ribosomal RNA". It matches the Rfam family "Bacterial small subunit ribosomal RNA", at positions 524 to 776 of the family's 1533-position model. The record is from RNAcentral.